CCCUAGAGCGAAACUUGUCAACUCGUCAUUAGAGAAGUAAAGUCGUUACAAGGUUUCCGUAGGUGAACUUGCGGAAGGAUCAUUACGGAGUGAGGGCCCUUUGGGUCCAACCUCCCACCCGUGUUUAUUUUACCUUGUUGCUUCGGCGGGCCCGCCUUUACUGGCCGCCGGGGGGCUCACGCCCCCGGGUCCGCGCCCGCCGAAGACACCCUCGAACUCUGUCUGAAGAUUGAAGUCUGAGUGAAAAUAUAAAUUAUUUAAAACUUUCAACAACGGAUCUCUUGGUUCCGGCAUCGAUGAAGAACGCAGCGAAAUGCGAUACGUAAUGUGAAUUGCAAAUUCAGUGAAUCAUCGAGUCUUUGAACGCACAUUGCGCCCCCUGGUAUUCCGGGGGGCAUGCCUGUCCGAGCGUCAUUGCUGCCCUCAAGCCCGGCUUGUGUGUUGGGCCCCGUCCUCCGAUUCCGGGGGACGGGCCCGAAAGGCAGCGGCGGCACCGCGUCCGGUCCUCGAGCGUAUGGGGCUUGUCACCCGCUCCGUAGGCCCGGCCGGCGCUUGCCGAUCAACCCAAAUUUUUAUCCAGGU
Molecule: ribosomal RNA, 582 nt
Filed under: Penicillium sp. 24.27
Lineage: Eukaryota; Fungi; Ascomycota; Eurotiomycetes; Eurotiales; Aspergillaceae
Description: eukaryotic LSU rRNA
Rfam family: 5.8S ribosomal RNA (bases 262-414)
Source: RNAcentral